This 72-nucleotide transfer RNA is filed under the name Trichobilharzia regenti. It matches the Rfam family "tRNA". From Rfam's summary of the family: Transfer RNA (tRNA) molecules are approximately 80 nucleotides in length. Lineage: Eukaryota; Metazoa; Platyhelminthes; Trematoda; Strigeidida; Schistosomatidae. The record is from Rfam by way of RNAcentral.
GCCUUCAUAGCUCAGUGGUAGAGCACUGGUCUCGUAAACCAGGGGUCGGCAUUUCGAUCCUUCCUUCUGACA